GGGUUGUGAGGUUAAGCGACUAAGCGUACACGGUGGAUGCCCUGGCAGUCAGAGGCGAUGAAGGACGUGCUAAUCUGCGAUAAGCGUCGGUAAGGUGAUAUGAACCGUUAUAACCGGCGAUUUCCGAAUGGGGAAACCCAGUGUGUUUCGACACACUAUCAUUAACUGAAUCCAUAGGUUAAUGAGGCGAACCGGGGGAACUGAAACAUCUAAGUACCCCGAGGAAAAGAAAUCAACCGAGAUUCCCCCAGUAGCGGCGAGCGAACGGGGAGGAGCCCAGAGCCUGAAUCAGUGUGUGUGUUAGUGGAAGCGUCUGGAAAGGCGCGCGAUACAGGGUGACAGCCCCGUACACAAAAAUGCACAUGCUGUGAGCUCGAUGAGUAGGGCGGGACACGUGGUAUCCUGUCUGAAUAUGGGGGGACCAUCCUCCAAGGCUAAAUACUCCUGACUGACCGAUAGUGAACCAGUACCGUGAGGGAAAGGCGAAAAGAACCCCGGCGAGGGGAGUGAAAAAGAACCUGAAACCGUGUACGUACAAGCAGUGGGAGCCUCUUUUAUGGGGUGACUGCGUACCUUUUGUAUAAUGGGUCAGCGACUUAUAUUCUGUAGCAAGGUUAACCGAAUAGGGGAGCCGAAGGGAAACCGAGUCUUAACUGGGCGUUAAGUUGCAGGGUAUAGACCCGAAACCCGGUGAUCUAGCCAUGGGCAGGUUGAAGGUUGGGUAACACUAACUGGAGGACCGAACCGACUAAUGUUGAAAAAUUAGCGGAUGACUUGUGGCUGGGGGUGAAAGGCCAAUCAAACCGGGAGAUAGCUGGUUCUCCCCGAAAGCUAUUUAGGUAGCGCCUCGUGAAUUCAUCUCCGGGGGUAGAGCACUGUUUCGGCAAGGGGGUCAUCCCGACUUACCAACCCGAUGCAAACUGCGAAUACCGGAGAAUGUUAUCACGGGAGACACACGGCGGGUGCUAACGUCCGUCGUGAAGAGGGAAACAACCCAGACCGCCAGCUAAGGUCCCAAAGUCAUGGUUAAGUGGGAAACGAUGUGGGAAGGCCCAGACAGCCAGGAUGUUGGCUUAGAAGCAGCCAUCAUUUAAAGAAAGCGUAAUAGCUCACUGGUCGAGUCGGCCUGCGCGGAAGAUGUAACGGGGCUAAACCAUGCACCGAAGCUGCGGCAGCGACGCUUAUGCGUUGUUGGGUAGGGGAGCGUUCUGUAAGCCUGUGAAGGUGUGCUGUGAGGCAUGCUGGAGGUAUCAGAAGUGCGAAUGCUGACAUAAGUAACGAUAAAGCGGGUGAAAAGCCCGCUCGCCGGAAGACCAAGGGUUCCUGUCCAACGUUAAUCGGGGCAGGGUGAGUCGACCCCUAAGGCGAGGCCGAAAGGCGUAGUCGAUGGGAAACAGGUUAAUAUUCCUGUACUUGGUGUUACUGCGAAGGGGGGACGGAGAAGGCUAUGUUGGCCGGGCGACGGUUGUCCCGGUUUAAGCGUGUAGGCUGGUUUUCCAGGCAAAUCCGGAAAAUCAAGGCUGAGGCGUGAUGACGAGGCACUACGGUGCUGAAGCAACAAAUGCCCUGCUUCCAGGAAAAGCCUCUAAGCAUCAGGUAACAUCAAAUCGUACCCCAAACCGACACAGGUGGUCAGGUAGAGAAUACCAAGGCGCUUGAGAGAACUCGGGUGAAGGAACUAGGCAAAAUGGUGCCGUAACUUCGGGAGAAGGCACGCUGAUAUGUAGGUGAAGCGACUUGCUCGUGGAGCUGAAAUCAGUCGAAGAUACCAGCUGGCUGCAACUGUUUAUUAAAAACACAGCACUGUGCAAACACGAAAGUGGACGUAUACGGUGUGACGCCUGCCCGGUGCCGGAAGGUUAAUUGAUGGGGUCAGCGCAAGCGAAGCUCUUGAUCGAAGCCCCGGUAAACGGCGGCCGUAACUAUAACGGUCCUAAGGUAGCGAAAUUCCUUGUCGGGUAAGUUCCGACCUGCACGAAUGGCGUAAUGAUGGCCAGGCUGUCUCCACCCGAGACUCAGUGAAAUUGAACUCGCUGUGAAGAUGCAGUGUACCCGCGGCAAGACGGAAAGACCCCGUGAACCUUUACUAUAGCUUGACACUGAACAUUGAGCCUUGAUGUGUAGGAUAGGUGGGAGGCUUUGAAGUGUGGACGCCAGUCUGCAUGGAGCCGACCUUGAAAUACCACCCUUUAAUGUUUGAUGUUCUAACGUUGACCCGUAAUCCGGGUUGCGGACAGUGUCUGGUGGGUAGUUUGACUGGGGCGGUCUCCUCCUAAAGAGUAACGGAGGAGCACGAAGGUUGGCUAAUCCUGGUCGGACAUCAGGAGGUUAGUGCAAUGGCAUAAGCCAGCUUGACUGCGAGCGUGACGGCGCGAGCAGGUGCGAAAGCAGGUCAUAGUGAUCCGGUGGUUCUGAAUGGAAGGGCCAUCGCUCAACGGAUAAAAGGUACUCCGGGGAUAACAGGCUGAUACCGCCCAAGAGUUCAUAUCGACGGCGGUGUUUGGCACCUCGAUGUCGGCUCAUCACAUCCUGGGGCUGAAGUAGGUCCCAAGGGUAUGGCUGUUCGCCAUUUAAAGUGGUACGCGAGCUGGGUUUAGAACGUCGUGAGACAGUUCGGUCCCUAUCUGCCGUGGGCGCUGGAGAACUGAGGGGGGCUGCUCCUAGUACGAGAGGACCGGAGUGGACGCAUCACUGGUGUUCGGGUUGUCAUGCCAAUGGCACUGCCCGGUAGCUAAAUGCGGAAGAGAUAAGUGCUGAAAGCAUCUAAGCACGAAACUUGCCCCGAGAUGAGUUCUCCCUGACUCCUUGAGAGUCCUGAAGGAACGUUGAAGACGACGACGUUGAUAGGCCGGGUGUGUAAGCGCAGCGAUGCGUUGAGCUAACCGGUACUAAUGAACCGUGAGGCUUAACCUUACAACGCCGAAG
This 2925-nucleotide ribosomal RNA is filed under the name Escherichia coli. Its description in RNAcentral is "partial 23S ribosomal RNA". It matches the Rfam family "Bacterial large subunit ribosomal RNA". Lineage: Bacteria; Pseudomonadati; Pseudomonadota; Gammaproteobacteria; Enterobacterales; Enterobacteriaceae. The record is from RNAcentral.